UUUUGGGUAGGAAAUGAUAUAAUAGUCAAGUAUCUGUGUAUAUUUCAUGCCCUCGUGCCCUGCCUUUUACUAUUUUUGAUAUUUUGAAGCUGCCCAGCUCGUCUGCCAGUCUUUCCAAAUGUCACACAUCUCCAGAAAAGUUUCCAAUGUAUUUAUUGGAAAAAAAAAAUCCCCACAUAGAAAUGGGUCUGCACAGCCCUACAUAAAGAAUCACAUAUGUGUCUGUGGGUUAACCUUGUCAAGUCAGAUUGCAAGGAACUUGGGUAGUUCUGUGGUAAAGUUCCCCUUGAUUAGGAAAAGGUUAAUUCAUGAAGAAACUUGAAGUAUGUCACCUGUUUUUAUAAUGAUUUUCUAGCAUUGACAAAAUCAACCACUCUCGCUAUUUGGAAUUUGAGUUGUUAAGUGAACCUUGUCCACUUGUUUGUCUUCAGAGUCAAAACUUCUGGGCCGCCUAAGUGGCUCAGGGGGUUAAGCAUCUGACUCUUGGUUUCAGCUCAGGUCAUGAUGUCAUGGUUCACGGAUUGAGCUCUGCACCGGGCGCUGCGCUCUACUGACUGGAGAGUGUGCGUCCACCUCCUUGGAGCCCACCUGUACGCCGUGUCUUGGGCGAGCGCUCAGUAUUGGCGGGAGAGAAACCCCACGCGCGGUGACGGACCCUGGCAUCCCUCUCUUCAGAAACCCUUCGUCCAUAUUUCCUGCUUGACUAAGGAAAUAAGACUCUGCCUUUCGUCAAGUCGUACAAUCAUUUUUGAAAAGUGCAUUUCGUAUGGUUGUCUCUGAUUGGGCCAGGUGUUCAGUCUAAGACAGGGCUUUUGAAUACCGUCAGCCUUUCCCCACUGCAGCUCCACAAGCCUGCUUGCCAGACGAGGCCAGAGGCUGGGGAUGGGCAACAGGUUCUCAGGCUGUUGCUCCCAAGUCAGCAGGGUUCCUAAAUCAUAAACCUGCCAGGCACCUGAAAAUGUCUGUCCCCUUGAGAGUAGGUCCCUAAGAAAAUCCCUGGGACUCCUGUGGGUGGUGAUGUGGGGACAUGUGUGUGUUGCUACCUGAGGUUGGUGAGUGAGUGUACUCUGGAGAGCCACGGAGGCCUGGUGCGCUCUUGCUAAUGACCCCCUGUGACUUUCCACUUUUCUCCCCUCUCCACCCCUGGAGUGUACAGCCCUUGCUGAGGAGCUCAACAGCUGUAGGAGCAGCUCUUGCAGAGAAAGGAAGAGGUCGUCAAACUGAAGGCAGAGAGAAACAACACCAGGCUGCUGCUGGAACAUUUGGAGUUCCUCGUCUCCAGGCACUAGAGAUCUCUUCGGAAAACAGUGGUGAGGCUACAGGCGAAGACUACGGCCGGCGUGUGCAUUGAGGCCGAGGGGCUGAAGGUCUUUGAACUCCAUAUUGGAGAACGACAAAAGGGAGGAUGAAACGGUGGAGAGCCAGAUGAAGGAGUGCCUAGCUCCCCUCUCCACUCUCGUGGCCAAGGUGGAGGAAGAUCUAGACAACGCGCGGAAGGAUGUCACCUUUUCAGAAGUAAUGAACACCAUGUUAUGACAAGAUGUGCAUGAAGUGAGAGGCAGUUGAGAAAGCCUCGCUGUCCUCAAGUCAAAUGUGGGGUGUUUGAUUCGGUCUUUGUCCACUCUGUCCUUACUCUCCUACAUUUUUUGAACGUUUGGAGUUUGGUAGAAGUAGCUGCAGAACGGAACGUUAUUCCAGGGCCUGGCAGCUGCCUCCCCGUCUGUAUGAUAGAAUCUGUCUUCCCUGGGCUCUACCCUACGAAAGCCUGGUGGGUAGGCAGCGUUGUGCCUUCAGGUGUGGAGUGCGUGCCACCUGAGCUUGUCCCACGCUGUGCUCACGGUCCGUUCUGGUAACACGCUCAGCACACUCGAAACACUGUGGUGCAGCCGCUCUGUUACUGGCACCGUGUCCGGGGCUGGCUCUGGUUGUGCAUGUGCUCUGUGCUCCCGGGUCACGGCCUGGAAGUGUUGCCGAGGGUUCUCGACUCAGGGCGCUUAGAGUCCAGAUCAGCUUGGGAGGGAGAGUGUCAGCUCCCUGGAGACAGCCCUCUCCGGCAGCUGCCGGCCUGUGCUUCUCACUCGUGUGGGAUGGUGUGUCGUGUGCCAAGAACACGUGGAAGAUGCUCUUCCGUGCUUCACCCAGUCCGACAGGCUCACAGGAUGGUCCUUUGAGCAACCUCAGCAGCAGUAGCAGUAACCAGGACUCCCUGCACAACGCCCCCAAAAGAAGGUCAUCAGUCCCUUGCGCUGUUUGCUAGGCAAGAAACAAAAGGUCCACCCCGGCCACGCUAGUGUUCUGUAUAGCUGCAAAAGGGUUCUAUAUAGCUGCAAAUAGGUUAUAUCUCCUCCAUAGUGAAACUGAGGCCCGUAUUAAGAUAAGGUUCCUGGAGGACGUAGAGCAUGUAUGAAAUCUGGAAAGGACUCACGUGGAAUCCCAUUCCACCUUGUGAUGUUGUGCAGGGACGGCCUUACCCCAGAGCACUUGACUCUAAGCCUGGCUCCUGCACAGAUGAGUUUGGGGCUCUCGGGAAGCUACAUAUUAGCAUUCCUGUGCUUCCGUUUAAUCACCUAACAGGAUCUGUGGGAGCACUUCCGUCACAUGGCUUUUAGGAGUGUCUGCAUCUAAAUAUCCACGAGAUACUUUGAUCACAGAAGUUCCAUCACAUGUGUAACUGCAGCCCCUGUGAGGACAUGGUCACCAGCAUUCAGAAACUGUCAUUCAUCUGGUGGGCUCUCUGGCGCACUCACUAGGUUGCCCCUCCUUUUUCCCUCCCCUGUAGUUUUUGAGUUUCUCUUAGACUAUGACCUUUGCAAUCUAUUCAGUACCACCUAUUUUUAACUGGUCUUGAUUCCAGACAAUGGGUUUCAUUUCCUACCAAGCAGCUGAGGCGCUGUGAUGCCUGGGAUGGGGGCCCAGAGAACUGGUGCAGGCAUAUCCCUCUGGGACUUUCCACUGUAGAGCAGGUCGCUUGUGGGUUGAGUGUGUCCCAGAGCUAAGUGGGUGAAGGAGGUAUGUUGAGACCACAUCCCAGUGAUCCGACAACUGAAAAAUAAAAGUGAACCCUCUUCAACAGAAGAGGUGGUUUGCAGUCUAGCGGGGUGGAGCAGGAGGUGGGCCAAGGGGGACAUUGGAGAUGGUGGGACGACGGGACAGGGCCUUGAGCCGGGGAAGAACUCAGUGGGCUUUGCGAUACACUGGACAGCAGGCAAGGCAUGGGGCCCCUCUCAGUGCCCCGAGUGCCUGCGAGGCCUGGAGUGGGCUGCCUCCCGUCCACACUGGGCCCACAGAGCCGCUUGCCAUAGAGGCUUUUUCCCCUUCAGCCCCGGACUUGUCCGUUCGUUUCUCUUUCCGUCUGCCUCAAUAUAGUCUCCUCAGAACUCAUAAUAAUGACCACGACUGGCACACUCAGUUGUACUUCAGGUGAAAUGCCGUUAUUUCUGUUAAUGCUCCCAAUUCCGUAGGAACCCUCAGGACUUUGUUCCCUGGAAUAGAAAUUUGUAGAAACAGUUUAACAGUGGUCUGAUUUGAAUGCCCCUAUGUUUGAAGUGUAUAAAACUGUUUUACAAUAACUUGGAUACUUGCCACCUGGAUGGUAUAAAAUUUCUUACUGAAAGUAGACUUUUUGCUCCUGGAACCAUGCUGGGAAAAUUCUGUCUCUUAAAUGUUGCCGAUGUGUUUUAUUUCACAUCUUUAUACUUUCUGUAAAGAAAACAGUAAGAUUUAUGGUAGUGCCUUCUGGUUCUCCCACCCCCCCCGGCCCCGAAAUGUGUAUUUUUGUAAGGUCUGAGGUAACAAAAAUUGUGGAUUGGCUGCUUUCUGCGUGGAGCCUGCUUUUGGUCCUUUUCCUCCUUUCUCUCUGCCUCUUUCUCCUCAUACACAUUCCUCUCUCUCUCUCUCUCUCUCUCUGAGACUUUGAAAAGGGCGAUUGAGUGGUUCAGACAAUGAAGCAUCUGAGUCUUGGUUUCGGCACAGGACAUGUUUUCAUACAUGGUGAAUUUGAGGCUUGCAGUGGGCGCAGAGCUGACAGUGGGGAGUUUGCUUAAGAUUCUCUCUCCCAAUUCUCUGCCCCUGCUCUUUUCUUGCUGUUUCUGCCUCUUUCAAAAAUAAAAAAACUAUAAAAAAUAAACCAAUUAGCUAUUGAGAAACCAAUAGUUUCACAGAGAUGAGGAAUUUGCUUUCAUUUUUGCUAUUUGACACUGAUAUUCUUCAGAAAUAUUUUUGACAUCAUAACAUGUUGGCUGCAGCUUGGGAAUAGAGCCUGUAAGUUGUGUUUUGGCAGUAGCCGGAUAUCUCACUGCAAUCCAGGGCCCUGUGCUCUGGGGGAAUGUUUCAGUUAUUUAUUUGAAAAGACACAAAACGUUGCAUUCUCCUUCUACAAAACCAGGACUGAUUUCCUCCCACACCACUACUUAAGACUGUCGUCAUUGCCGUAAGAACGAACCCAUGCUUGUGAGGAGAACAGGGCAAGGGCAAGGGCGCUGUGGGACUGUCCCGGCGUGUGGCAGUGUCUGCAGCUCAAAGACUAUUUGGAAAACGAAAAGGUAGUAUCUUCUAUGGCAGGAAGGUGAUUUCACAUAGACAGUGGAGCAGGCCCAGGCAGCCCAGGACUCUGCUGACUUGUGCCCGGUCAGGGUCCUGGCACAAGUGUGGCCCUGUCCCCCUUUACCCCCUGGGGCUGCCUUCUGGGCAGGGGGCCCGAUGGCUGUCAGGAAUGUGGGUAAAUACCUGUAAACAAAACUGCAGAGCGAGGUCAUUUUAAAGGGCUGGUAACUUUAAUAUACACUUUUUUUUUUUUAAUUUCCAAUUAGUCUUGAUUUCUGGAUGAUGA
Long non-coding RNA from Herpailurus yagouaroundi (jaguarundi), 4828 nucleotides. RefSeq lists it as uncharacterized. The record is from RefSeq and is a predicted model, not a curated record. Lineage: Eukaryota; Metazoa; Chordata; Mammalia; Carnivora; Felidae. The transcript has 3 exons.